This 194-nucleotide ribosomal RNA is filed under the name uncultured eukaryote. RNAcentral describes it as "partial 18S ribosomal RNA". It matches the Rfam family "Eukaryotic small subunit ribosomal RNA", at positions 1 to 192 of the family's 1831-position model. The record is from RNAcentral.
CCAACCUGGUUGAUCCUGCCAGUAGUCAUACGCUUGUCUCAAAGAUUAAGCCAUGCAUGUCUAAGUAUAAACAAUUUAUACUGUGAAACUGCGAAUGGCUCAUUAUAUCAGUUAUAGUUUAUUUGAUAGUAUUUUACUACUUGGAUAACCGUAGUAAUUCUAGAGCUAAUACAUGCGUUAAUUCCCAACUGCUU